This 4285-nucleotide long non-coding RNA is filed under the name Prunus persica (peach). RNAcentral's name for it is "long non-coding RNA (PPER_LNC005193)". The record is from RNAcentral. Lineage: Eukaryota; Viridiplantae; Streptophyta; Magnoliopsida; Rosales; Rosaceae.
CCAACACAAGCAAACUCAACAUCAACAAUGUCGACAAAGUCUAGCAUUACCGUCCUUGCCUUUGCCUUUUGUUUCUUGUCCCUCCUCAGUUUCGCUUACUCCAACACCACCGACGACAAAAUCUCUACCUCACCGGCCUGGUCUACUGUGACAACUGCCAAUUGAAGUCUAUGACCGAGAUGAGUAAGAUGAUAAGAUUUGAAUAUGAGAUUUAUGCAUGCAUGCAUGCACAUUGCCCAUUGAUCAGGUGCACAUCUUUUUAUCUUUUACUUUACUAAUUCUUAAUUAAGAUUCAAUUUAGGACCUAUUUAAAGAGAAGAAAAAUACGAUUUAAAAUAUAUCUUAUAACCUAAUAAUCUCCUAAUCAAAAUAUUAAACUUUUAAAAUGUCACAUAUCAAUUUAGCCCUUAAUUAUACUAAGCUUAAAUUCCAUGGUCCAUACUAGUUUGAUUUUUAUUUUUUAUUUUGGUGUGAAAAUUUGGUAUUUUCUUUAAAAUAAUGUGCUUGAUAGCGUGAAAGUAGCAAAUAAAUAAUGAUGUGUUCAAAUUGGAUUUGAACACACAUCACAACCCAUAUCAUCAUUAAGGCCCUAAAAAUUAAAUCAUUAUGUGCUUGGUUAAUACGUUAAGUAGUUUAUGAAGUGAUUAAGAUCAAAGAGGAUCCAUGACUUGUAAUGGAUCACUUGUUCAUUUACUUAAAAAUAAAUAAAUAAAUAAAUAAAAGCAAAGGACCCACUAGUGUAGUGGUUUGGAGUAUUUACUCCCUUAGGUAAGGUCCUGGGUUCGAGUCCUAGCAUCCGUGUUGUGUGUGUGAGUUUAAUAUGCUAUCGCCCCUUUCAAUAGGAAAGGACCUCAAAAAAAAAAAAAAUAAAUAAAUAAAUAAACUCGCAAUACCGACUCCAUUCGUAAUUCCAUCAAUUACGCGACCAAAACUUCGUCGCUCAAAGUCUUGCGCGACGAAAAACAAUUCGUAGCGCAAAGUCACUUCGCGCGACAAACUUUUGCGCGACGACAAUACAUCGUCGCUCAAAGUCUUGCGCGACCAAAUUUUGCUCGACGAAAAAAAUUCGUCGCGCAAAGUCACUUCGCGAGACAAACUUUUGCGCGACAACAAUACAUCGUCGCUCAAAGUGACUUUGCGCGACGAAACAAUGAACUUCGUCGCGCAAAGUCCUUAUAAAAAUAAAAUAUAUAUAUUUUAAAAUCUUUGCAUGACGUAAUCCAAAUAUUUCGUCGCCUAAACUAAUUUAUUUUUGUUUUUUAUUUUGUAUGCAUAACACUUAAGAAAUUAAACAGUAUAUAUAUUUAUUAAGUAGCUUUAAAUUUAUUAUUUUAGAUCAGAUCGGAUUUUUGUUAGAAAAAUAUAUUAUUGUUGUUCAGAUUGGGUUUUUGUUAGAAAAUAUAUAUUUUAAAUUGACGAUCGAAUUAGUUCAUUGUAUUCAUAUAUGGUCAAGGAGUGUAGCUAUAAAAAGCAUCAAAAUUGGAGUUAAAAUAACCGUUAAAUCGUGAUUUUUCAUUAUAACCGUCGAAAAGUUUUGUCCCAUUACUUGAUCUCUGAAUGUUUAUUUUUUCUGAUUUUUGGCGUAUAUGAUCUCGAAGUAUAAACAAACAAGUUUGACGGUUGGAUCGUUGAAACUAGUUUUGGUGAAUGCAUAUGCCAUCAAAACAAUAUAUUCACUAACAGUUAAGAGUUUAUUUAUACGUUCGUUAAAUAUAACAUAAGAUUUUGUGGUAUCCACUAGUGUAAAUAUUUUAAAUUGAAGAUCAAAUUCAGUCGUUGUAUUCACAUAGGGUCAAGGAGUGUAGCUGUAAAAAAUCAUCAAAAUCGGAGUUAAAAUAACCGUUAAAUCGUGAUUUUUCAUUAUAACCGUCGAAAAGUUUUGUCCCAUUACUUGAUCUCUGAAUGUUUAUUUUUUCCGAUUUUUGGCGUAUAUGAUCUCGAAGUAUAAACAAACAAGUUUGACGAUUGGAUCAUUGAAACUAGUUUUGGUGAAUGCAUAUGCCAUCAAAACAAUAUAUUCACUAACAAUUAAGAGGUUAUUUAUACGUUCGUUAGAUAUAACAUAAGAUUUUGUGGUAUCCACUAGUGUAAAUAUUUUAAAUUGAAGAUCAAAUUCAAUCAUUGUAUUCAUAUAUGGUCAAGGAGUGUAGCUGUAAAAAAAAUCAUCAAAAUCGGAGUUAAAAUAACCGUUAAAUCGUAAUUUUUCAUUUAUAACCAUCGAAAAGUUUUGUCUCGUUACUAGAUCUCUGAAUGUUUGUUUUUUGCGAUUUUUGGGGUAUACGAUCUUGAAGUAUAUACAAAUAAGUCUGACGGUUGGAUCGUUGAAUGGUGUGUGUAUAUAUAUUUAUUUAUUAAGUAGCUUUAAAUUUAUUUAUUUUGUACGUAUAACACUUAAGAAAUUGAAUAGUAUAUAUAUUUAUUAAGCAGCUUUAACCUUAUUUAUAUUUUAAAUUGUAAAAUAAAAUAAUUUUAUUUUUAUUAUUCCUAACAAUUAUUUUUAUAAAUAUUGUGUUACGAACCAAUUUUUCGUCUCUCAAAAGUUUGCGCAACCAACAGUUUGUCGCGCAAAACUCUAAAAAUUUGGACGGGUACCAAAAAUGGGACGCGGGAUUUUUAAAAAAAAUAAAAAAAAUUUAGACUUUGUGCGACCAAUAUUUUUUGUCGCUCAAAACUUUGCGCGACCAAUAUAUAUUUUUCGUCUCUCAAAAAUUUGGGCAGGUACCAAAAAUGGGAAGCGGGAAUUUUUUUAGACUUUGCGCGACUAGUAUGUAUUUUUCGUCGUGCAAAAAUUUAAAAAUUUUGGCAGGUACCAAAAAUGGGACGCGGGGAUUUUUAUUUUUUUAAAUAAUUUUUUUAGACUUUGCGCGACCAAUAUUCCUAUAUUCGUCGCGCAAAAAUUUAAAAAUUUUGGCGGGUACCGAAAAUGGGACGCGGGGAUUUUUAUUUUUUUAAAUAAUUUUUUUAGACUUUGCGCGACCAAUAUUCCUAUAUUCGUCGCGCAAAAAUUUAAAAAUUUUGGCGGGUACCGAAAAUGGGACGCGGGGAUUUUUAUUUUUUUAAAUAAUUUUUUUAGACUUUGCGCGACCAAUAUUCCUAUAUUCGUCGCGCAAAAAAUUAAAAAUUUUGGCUGGUACCAAAAAUGGGACGCGGGGAUUUUUAUUUUUUUAAAUAAUUUUUUUAGACUUUGCGCGACCAAUAUUCCUAUAUUCGUCGCGCAAAAAUUUAAAAAUUUUGGCGGGUACCAAAAAUGGGACGCGGGGAUUUUUAUUUUUUUAAAAUAUUUUUUUUAGACUUUGCGCGACCAAUAUUCCUAUAUUCGUCGCGCAAAAAUUUAAAAAUUUUGGGGGGUACCAAAAAUGGGACGCGGGGAUUUUUAUUUUUUUAAAAUAAUUUUUUUAGACUUUGCGCGACCAAUAUUCCUAUAUUCGUCGCGCAAAAAUUUAAAAAUUUUGGCGGGUACCAAAAAUGGGACGCGGGGAUUUUUAUUUUUUUUAAAUAAUUUUUUUAGACUUUGCGCGACCAAUAUUCUUAUAUUCGUCGCGCAAAACUUUGCGCGACCAAUAUGUUUCGUCGGGCAAAAGUUUGCGCGAUCAAUAUUCCAAUAUUUUUCGUCGCACAAACCUUUGCGCGACCAACAAUAUUUUUCGUCGCGCAAAGUGAUACGGUUUUUAAAACCGAAAUAACUCAUCCACCAUUUUCUCAAUGCCUUUCUCUACUCUUACCUCUCCUUUCUCUUUCCCUCUCCCCAAAUCCCACCAUUUCUCUCACUUACUCCUCUCACUUAAUCUCUCAUCUCUCUCUCACUCACUCUCUCAUCUCUCUCACUCACUCUCUCAUCUCUCUAUCACUAUCUUCUCUAAUUCUCUCACACUCACUUCUCCCUCUCAUUCUCAUUCACUCUCAAUCUUGCCAAAAGGUAUAUUCUCUCCAAAUUUUAAAUUUUUUUCAUUAAUAUGUGUUUUUGGAGUUAAUUUUGAGUUUGUGUGGGUUUUAGGGUUGAGUAAAGGGGAGGGAUUGGAGUUUGGGUUGGAUUUGUGGUAUAACAAUUUUAGGGGAGAUUAUGCCUUCUUUUUUUUUUUUUUUGUGGUUAUUUGACCAUAUUUAUUUUUUUUGUAGGGAAUCAUCGAGACUUUGACGGCUAAAGUUGAGGAUUAGGAAGCUAUCAAAACAUCUCCUCUGCCACUACCACCACAAUACGCUUGUAUUAGGGUUUUAUUAUUGUACUUUGUUAAUUUAUGUGAACAUUUUGAAUAUUAUAUAUAUAUAUAUAUUUAUUGGAUAAUUU